Molecule: long non-coding RNA, 699 nt
Organism: Vulpes vulpes (red fox)
Lineage: Eukaryota; Metazoa; Chordata; Mammalia; Carnivora; Canidae
Source: Ensembl
AUGUCCAUGAACGGAAAAAUAAAGAAAAUAUCGAGAAGAAAGUAUCAAGUACCUGUGGAAAGCACACCUGCUCUCAAAAAGGAUGGAGGACUAGGCCUCGCGCUUGCGCAUCAGGUGCCCCUGACCAGGAGCGAGAUCUCGCGGGAUCUCAGGCAAGUGUCGAGUUACCCACAAGGCUGUGCCUCGGGACCGGAAGCACCGCUGGGACCUGGAGUUUUGAGACCCGGCGCCAGGCCCUGCCCUGACCGCGUGAGGUGGGCGAGGUGUGAUGGCCGGGAUGGUGUGAAGAGACGGUCAGAAGUCCGAGGAAAAGAGGUCCGCUCUGUCAUGGAGUUCGUGGGGGCGCUGAGGGUGCAUUUUGCAAUUAGUUCUGCCCCAAAACUGCCUGCAGCCCGGCCCCUCCCUCGCCGUGCAGCGCGGCCCCCUGUCAUCUUAGGGUUUUGCCGCCGUCUCUCCUUCUGCUGGCCUCGCGUAUCUCCGCGCCGCCUGGCUCACUCGGGAUGUCUGCCGAAAAGCCGGCGCAGCAGGCUGGUCUCCAAGGAUGUGCAAGAGCAGCUGUGGACUAUAACUGAGAGGAGUUAUCUUUGCAUUUUUCAUUGUUGCUUGGGCCUCCUGAAACUACCGGCAGGCAACAGCUGUGCUAUGCUGAACAGUGUUCUUCUCAGGCAGAAGCCACAUGGAAAACCACCAGGAAGAUAG